UAAGGAAUAUUGCUCAAUGGGAGAAAUCCUGAAGCAGCAACGCCGCGUGGAGGAUGAAGGGUCUAUGACUUGUAAACUCCUGUAAAGAAGGAAAAAAUUCCCAUUUGAUGGGAGAUGAUGGUACUUCUGGAGUAAGCCCCGGCUAACUACGUGCCAGCAGCCGCGGUAAUACGUAGGGGGCAAGCGUUGUCCGGAUUUACUGGGCGUAAAGGGUGCUCAGGCGGAUUUGUAAGUCAGAGGUGAAAUCUUACAGCUUAACUGUGAAACUGCCUUUGAUACUGCAAGCCUAGAGUAUGGAAGAGAGUGAUGGAAUAUCUGGUGUAGCAGUGAAAUGCGUAGAUAUCAGAUAGAACACCAAUGGCGAAGGCAGUCACUUGGUCCAUUACUGACGCUAAAGCACGAAAGCGUGGGUAGCAAACA
This 420-nucleotide ribosomal RNA is filed under the name uncultured bacterium. Its description in RNAcentral is "bacterial SSU rRNA". It matches the Rfam family "Bacterial small subunit ribosomal RNA", at positions 355 to 774 of the family's 1533-position model. The record is from RNAcentral.